This 337-nucleotide unclassified non-coding RNA is filed under the name soil metagenome. Its description in RNAcentral is "partial contains 5.8S ribosomal RNA, internal transcribed spacer 2, and large subunit ribosomal RNA". The stretch from base 1 to 120 matches the Rfam family "5.8S ribosomal RNA", at positions 35 to 154 of the family's 154-position model. The record is from RNAcentral.
GAUGAAGAACGUAGCGAAAUGCGAUAAGUAAUGUGAAUUGCAGAAUUCAGUGAAUCAUCGAAUCUUUGAACGCACAUUGCGCCCUCUGGUAUUCCGGAGGGCAUGCCUGUUCGAGCGUCAUUUCGACCCUCAAGCAUUGCUUGGUGUUGGGGCACCGCCUGUAAAAGGGCGGGCCCUGAAAUCUAGUGGCGAGCUCGCCAGGACCCCGAGCGUAGUAAUUAUAUUUCGUUCUGGAAGGCCCUGGCGGUGCCCUGCCGUUAAACCCCAACUUCUGAAAAUUUGACCUCGGAUCAGGUAGGAAUACCCGCUGAACUUAAGCAUAUCAAUAAGCGGAGGA